CCUACGGGUGGCAGCAGUGAGGAAUAUUGGUCAAUGGACGCAAGUCUGAACCAGCCAAGCCGCGUGCGGGAAGACGGCUCUAUGAGUUGCAGACCGCUUUUGUCCGAGGGUAAAUCCCGGUACGUGUAACGGGCUGAAAGUACCGUACGAAAAAGGAUCGGCUAACUCCGUGCCAGCAGCCGCGGUAAUACGGAGGAUUCAAGCGUUAUCCGGAUUUAUUGGGUUUAAAGGGUGCGUAGGCGGUUCGAUAAGUUAGAGGUGAAAUCCCGGGGCUCAACUCCGGCAAUGCCUCUGAUACUGUCGGGCUAGAGUGUAGUUGCGGUAGGCGGAAUGUAUGGUGUAGCGGUGAAAUGCAUAGAGAUCAUACAGAACCCCGAUUGCGAAGGCAGCUUACCAAGCUACGACUGACGUUGAGGCACGAAAGCGUGGGGAGCGAACAGGAUUAGAUACCCCAGUAGUC
RNAcentral lists this ribosomal RNA (460 nucleotides) under uncultured bacterium. RNAcentral's name for it is "partial 16S ribosomal RNA". It matches the Rfam family "Bacterial small subunit ribosomal RNA", at positions 338 to 795 of the family's 1533-position model. The record is from RNAcentral.